AAUCAACGCUGGCGGCGUGCCUCAGACAUGCAAGUCGAACGCGAAAGGCCCCUUCGGGGGCCCGGUAGAGUGGCGCACGGGUGAGUAACACGUAGGUAAUUUGCCUUCGGGUGGGGAAUAACAGCCGGAAACGGCUGCUAAUACCGCAUAAUGCAGCGGCUCGACAUCGAGACAGUUGUUAAAGCGGGGGAUCGCAAGACCUCGCGCCUGAAGAGAAGCCUGCGGCAGAUUAGCUUGUUGGUGAGGUAAUGGCUCACCAAGGCGACGAUCUGUAACCGGCCUGAGAGGGCGGUCGGUCACACUGACACUGACAUACGGGUCAGACUCCUACGGGAGGCAGCAGUCGGGAAUUUUGGGCAAUGGGCGAAAGCCUGACCCAGCAACGCCGCGUGAAGGAUGAAAUCUCUCGGGAUGUAAGCUUCGCAAGAACGGGAAGAA
Molecule: ribosomal RNA, 438 nt
Filed under: uncultured bacterium
Lineage: Bacteria
Description: bacterial SSU rRNA
Rfam family: Bacterial small subunit ribosomal RNA
Source: RNAcentral